AUUUCGGAGGAGCACGAUGUUUCGGAGGAGCAUUGAUGAUUCCCAUUGGGAUCCCACUCCAGAAGUCGUCCCUCUUUCGCCGAAGCCUCUCAGAGAAGAACCCCCCUUGAUGUCCCACUCUGGAACUUCACCACCCAUCGGUGCGACCCUCGGGAUGCCCCUCCUCCCACUGAUGGGAAUAUUCGUGGGCCCAUGGGAAGGCCGUGGA
RNAcentral lists this long non-coding RNA (208 nucleotides) under Elaeis guineensis (African oil palm). Its description in RNAcentral is "long non-coding RNA (EGUI_LNC002053)". Lineage: Eukaryota; Viridiplantae; Streptophyta; Magnoliopsida; Arecales; Arecaceae. The record is from RNAcentral.